This is a non-coding RNA of Oncorhynchus mykiss (rainbow trout), 487 nucleotides long. Lineage: Eukaryota; Metazoa; Chordata; Actinopteri; Salmoniformes; Salmonidae. The record is from RefSeq and is a predicted model, not a curated record.
AAAAGAGCCGUGAUGUCUGAGGUGCUGAGUACAGUGGAACUCUGAUUUCUCACUGCUAAUUCACUGCAUCAUAUCGGGGCAGACGGGUUGUCUUCCACAUUAACAAUGUUUCCGUGCUGUUGUUGUAGUAGAGACAACAGUGUUAUUUACAAAGCAGAGGUGUUCACUGGAGAAAUGCUGUACGCCGGCACAACGAACAGUAUCUAUAUACAUCUCCGUGGCACAAUGGAUUCAAGCCAUCGCAUCUGCCUCCCCAAAAGUAGAUUCAUUGGGGGCCACCGCCGAGGGGCUGUGAUUGAGCUUGAUGUGUUCUGUCCUUCCUCCCUGGGCCAUCUGGAGUUUGUGGUGCUGGAAUCAGAGCCGUACCUCCCAUUCUGCUUCCUCAACAAUGACUGGUUCUGCUCUAAAGUAGUGGUGACCACACCAGAGGGAGACACAGUCAACUUCCCCUGUUACCACUGGAUCUCAGGCAAUGAACGGCUGAUGU